AUCUGGAAGAACUUUUGGUUUUAGGAUGCUUGUUUUGUUUUUCACUUUAACUUGCUAGGGGCUGAAACUAAGAUAAACACUCAUUGGCUUUUUAGAGCAUCUAGAUUCGUGUCUGUCCGGGAGGGAUGCACUUUAGAAUCACCUGAGGAUCUUUUACAGGCCUUUUCCACUUCUGUGUCUAGAUCCAGCAAGCUGGACUUUCUUCCUAACUCUUGUCCGGGCACUGCCCCCAGACCCCGGAGAGGAAGAAAGCCUAGGAGGCGGCCGUUGGCGCGGCUGCCCACAUUGGGGAUCCUCUGCUGGCGGAUCGCGGAAAACCCACGCGCUUCAGGUCUGUGGGUCCAGGCGGAUCCCUCACGGAGGGAGCGGAAGGAGAGGAAGGGUUAAUUCAAACUGCUAGAAAAGCCAAAAGUCAAUGUGAAAACGCUGAGCUGCAC
RNAcentral lists this long non-coding RNA (437 nucleotides) under Equus asinus (donkey). RNAcentral's name for it is "lncRNA (ENSEASG00005025698.1)". The record is from RNAcentral. Lineage: Eukaryota; Metazoa; Chordata; Mammalia; Perissodactyla; Equidae.